This 1284-nucleotide ribosomal RNA is filed under the name Menida violacea. RNAcentral's name for it is "16S ribosomal RNA". The stretch from base 582 to 1284 matches the Rfam family "Archaeal large subunit ribosomal RNA", at positions 1423 to 2799 of the family's 2987-position model. Lineage: Eukaryota; Metazoa; Arthropoda; Insecta; Hemiptera; Pentatomidae. The record is from RNAcentral.
AUUUUAAUAUUUUAUAUUUAAUUUAUUAAUUUUAUAUUUAUGUAUUGUUUAUAGAAAUAACUUUAUUUUUAGUAAUUUUUAAUGAAUAUAAUAAAUUAAAAAUUUAUAGCUUAUAUUACUGUAAAGGUUUAUUUUUAAAAUAUAAUAAAAGUAGACUUUAAUUGUUGUACCUUUUGUAUCAGGGUUUAUUAAUUUAUUAUUAAUUAUACUUAAUUUUCCCGAAUUUAAUAGAGAUAUCAAUUAUUGUUAUUUAAUGUUUCAAAAUUAUUAAUAAAUUAUUGAUAGGGGUUAUAUGCUAUUCAAUAUUAAAUAUCUGGUUUUCUGAUAAUUGAAUUUAAUUCAGAAUUGACAAAUUUUUAUUAUAUAACUUUAUUUUUAAUAAUUUAGUCAAUUUAAAUUAUUAGGGGAUAAGCUCUAAUAAUUUAUUUAUAAUUAAUAUUAAGAAUUAAAUUAAGUAGGAUUAGAAAUUUCCAUCAUUUAUUUUGUUAUAAUUAAUUUUAAUUAAUUAUUUAUUUAUAUUAAUUUAAAUAUUUAUCAGAAAUUAUUAAUUAAUUAUUAAUUAAUAGAUAUAAUGAUAGAAUUAGUAUAUUAUUUUAAUUAAUAUAUAGUAAUUCGGCAAAUUUAUUCUUCACCUGUUUAACAAAAACAUGUCUUGAUGUUUAAUUUUAUAUUAAGUCUGACCUGCUCAAUGAUUGUAAAAUUAAAUAGCCGCAGUAUUUUGACUGUGCGAAGGUAGCAUAAUCAUUUGUCUUUUAAUUGAAGGCUUGUAUGAAUGGUUGGAUGAGGGAAUUGCUUUCUUUAUAUUAAUUGUUGAACUUAAUUUUUAAGUUAAAAAGCUUAAAUAUUUAAAUGGGACGAGAAGACCCUAUAGAAUUUAACUUUUAUUUAUUAAUAAUAUUUGUUUUGGUAAAUAAUUUAUUUUAUUAAUGUGAAAGUUUUGUUGGGGUGACAGUGGGAUUUUUAUAACUCCCAUAAUUAAUAUUGUAUUUAUAUGUAUAUUUAAGAUCCUAUUUUAAGGAUAUUUAGAUUAAAUUACCUUAGGGAUAACAGCGUUAUUUUUCUGGAGAGUUCUUAUCGAUAGAAGAGUUUGCGACCUCGAUGUUGGAUUAAAAUUAGAUUUAAGUGUAGAAGCUUAAUUUCUAGGUCUGUUCGACCUUUAAAAUUUUACAUGAUCUGAGUUCAGACCGGCGUAAGCCAGGUCGGUUUCUAUCUUUUUUUAAUGUAAUAUAAAUUAGUACGAAAGGACCAUUUAUAUCAAAUAAUUUGUUUUAAUGAAUAUCUUUA